GCGUGCGUGCGCAUGCGCAAGCAAGCAAGCAGGGCUAUGAUUCUAAACUCUUCCUAAGAAACUGUCAUAUCUAUCCUCAUUUUCUAAGGGAGCUAAUGAAGCACAGAGGAGUUCAGGCAACUUGCCCAGGACAAACAGCUCUUCUCACAAACAAUUGAGGGAAGAAGGGUUCGUUUUACCCCAGUUUGAAGGCAUAGUUCAUUGCGAUGGAGAGACAGUUGGAGAGUAAGGCUGUCACACUAUUAGUUAUGCACUGGCAUGGAAGGAUAAGUCCUCACACAAAGGAGAUGCUUCUCACGGAGCAUUGAGAGAAACCAUGGAAGACUGCCUUUCCUACUGUCAAGCAUCUAUGUCCCAGUCCUCUGACUUCUGCGUGAUAUUGCAAUCUCCAGGAAAGAAUAAACUUCUCUAUUUCACUCAAUGAUGGAUUCCAGAACUGGGACAGUGAUGGGCACCUAGUAGGCACGAGAAAUGUCAAAGGAAUUUCUUCUGAAGUUGAACAGUUGCUGAUAAAGUCUGUGAGGAAGCCUUGGCUCAGAACAAAGAAUGAUUUAUCUUUUCAGAAAAGAGAUUGUGAUACAGGGGAGCUGGUAUUUACCAGCUCCUGGGCUCCAUUGCUUUACGGAGUCUUUGCUUUAGAUGACCAGGGGAGGAAGGGAAAUGUAGAGAGGAACCUCAAAGACUGGAUGUGCAGAAACGCAGGGCUUUGGCCAUAAACUUCCCACCUUCCUCACUGUCACCACGAUAAAAACUAGCGUCUGAAGAGCUGCCAUAAUUUUAAAGCUGGCCAUUUCUUUGCAGCACCACAAUUAAAACCCCAUGGUUUUUUGAGCGGUGUGAAUUUUGUUUAUUGCAUGUUUCAUAGAGUAUUUUACAGAUGCUCAGUACAAGCAAGUUAAGGAAAACAUCAACACCGCUGGCAGACUCUAGAAUAAAUAAGAAAAUAUUCUACUGAAUCUAUAAUAAAAAAAAUAAUGGGUGUGAAAUUGCUGCCUUCUUUCUUCUACCAUUUCUGGUUUAAGUAUAUUGGAAAGAAUGGGACUGAACUGAAUGAUUUUGAAAGGGGAAACCAUACAACUUUGCAAACUAUAGAAGAUUAAUUAAGUACAAUGUAAGGAAAGCCCCCUUACAUAUGCAGAUGAAGCUGGUUGACUGCUUUUCUCUAGAAAACAAAACAAAACAAAAACUGCUCUGUAAUUUGACAUGACUUCCUCUUUUAAAAAAUGUUUCCUAUGUCACAGGAAGGAGUCAUUUUCAUUCUUCUUGCUAUUUAAACACCCUGUAAGCUCUCAGUAUCUGACAAAUGAGACCCACAUUGAUACCUCAGGACUGUCUACCCUCUCCUGGCCCCCACCCCACCUUCCCUUCCUCCCUUCCUCUCUGGAGGUAUGAGCGAAGAUUAUACUGACGAUUUUAUCUUAUUUUUAUAUUUAUAUCUUAUCUUUUAUAUUUAUAUUUUAUCUUAUAUUUAUCUUAUUAACUCGGAGGAAGGUUCGUAGACUGUCUCAAGGGCUCUGUGCUCUCCUCUCUCCCAGGAAAACACUGUUCUUUUUCUCAGAUAAGGGCUUCAAAUUUAUUGACUUAUUACAAGAAAUCAGUGUCUGCAUAAAUAUACAUAUUUAUUAUGCAUGUGUGUAUGUUUCAUAUAUAUGUAUCUAUAAAUGCAUGUGAAUAUAUGUAUGUUGUAUACAGUUUUCAGUAAAAGACAUAAAUUUACAUCAUAAAAAGAAUUUCAUGGGAAAAUAUAUAGGAGGAGGAAGAAGGGGAAGAGGAGGAGAAAGAGGAGGAAGAAGAGGAGGAGGAGGAGGAAGUCACAUAUAAUCAUAUCCACCAAAGGAAAUAAAUACUAUUGACCAUGGCAAACAUUAUCUGUAGUUCUCCAAGUCUACACUGCAAACUAAAGAAUCUUCAGUAGUGCAAAAGAACUCGUGUGGUUGAGAUGGGUGGGCAUAAGAAAAUCCAUUCAUGCUUCUCAGUCUAUUGUGGGAUUUCCCACCUAUGUGGAGAAAUAUUUCUCUAAGAAUAAUAAUGGCAAAACCCAAUCGUAAACAGCCACAAAUGCUCUUGUGAUAGCCAGGCACAUUGUGGCAAAAUAAAGACCGAAUGCUGAAUCCAGGAGGGGCAAGAACAGCUCGGUGAAGAGCUCCAGUCACAAAUAUGGUCUCAGUGUUGUCAAACCUCCUGAUUCAUCAGAAAUGGUAAAUUCGCAUGUAUAUGUAAAACUACCCAUUUUAAAACCAUUUUCUCAAAAUCGUUUAAAACCUCUGUGGGAGAUGACUGACAUAUGGACGGUAGCGCAUCAAGUACAGCUUUUGCUAUGUAGAGUUAGGCAGAUGAGUAGAUAAAAAGGAAAUGACUAAUGAUUGGUCAAUAAUAAGAAAAGUCUACAGAAGCAACUAUUUAAAAAUAAUUUAAAAAUAACAAUGAAAUUUAAGUCUCAUCAAAUUAAAUAGGCCGCCCUGAAAUGGGGAACAUCGCGGAACCUUAUUUCUUCAUCCUCAAAAAUUUCUCUAAGCACAAGAACAAUGAUAAAGUCAUUAUGAGAUUGAAAAUGUAUACGUACUACAAUGAACUCUAUAUUAUUAACUACGUUAUCUUCCAGAGUCCACAGGAGACUCAUUCCAGGACCCUUGCAGAUACCCACAAUCAAGGCUAUUCCUGUGUGCUGACCUUGAAUGAUUUUGAAAGGGGAAAUGAUACGACUUUGCAAACUAUAGAAGAUUCAAAAUCGUUCUUACAUAUGCAGAUGAAGCUGGUCAGCUGUUUUUCUUUAGAAAAAAACAAAAAGCAAAAACUGCUCUAUAAUUUGACAUGACUUCCCUUUUCCAAAAAAGACUGGACAUUUACAUAGAACCUAUGUACUUCCUCUUAUGUUGUCACAUGCUGCACAUUGGUAUCUCACCCCUUAGACUACAUGACGGCAGCCCCACAGGAUCGUAAUAGAACUGGGAAACCCUAUUGCCUGGUAAUGAGUGUCUCAGCUAUAGCGAUGCCGCAGCACAGUGUACAUUGGACGACUCCAUGUUUGCAGUAAUUCAGGGGUAAAUACCUUCACCGAACUGCUUGUGAACGUUAGUUUGUGCCCACCCAAUUCUGUGCAAUACAGAAUUUCUUGGUCAUGAUAACAAACGACAAUGGGACUGAUUAUACAUAACCACGCUUUUUUUUCAUUAUUUUUGUGUGCACGCCUACUUAUCCGCAUAUUUAAAGUUUGAAAUAGCCUGCUACGUUACGUGACAGCCUCAUCAGCUUUGCAUCAUAGCAUUGUUUGACUGAAACAAGAAGUCCUGGAGGUUGGUUAACUUAGAUGAUGCAGGAUUAUAUAAGUUCAGAUGUUCAUUCAAUGGGAUCCGGUCGCCAGAGCCUCCCCCAUCCUGUACACUAGGCGGUGGGCAAUGAUAUUCUAAGCCGUUUCUCAGUUAAUUAAAACACACAGUGGAGCGCACAGACCAAGUACCCUGUUGCUGUACUGUACUGUUUGGGCAAUACCGGCUGCAAGCAGGUGUGCGCAUGUCUGGUGCAGAUGGAUAUAUUGGUGUUUAAAUACUUUUGAUCUGAGUGCUGCGGAAUCUGCACAUGGGGAGACACACAGACAUGCCGACUAUUCAUACUUUACUUUCAGGCAUACAGGUUGAUUCUUGGUUUAUUGGAAGACUAUUGAUCCUAAAAGUUUGUUUUUAGGUAUUGUACCAAGACAUUCUUAUCACCUCUAGUCUUUUUUUUUUUUCUGAAAAUUAUGAGACUAUCAUGACGCUCAGGGACCUAAUUUUCUAUUCUCCUUGUAUCUUUCUAGAGACAAAAAGGACACGAAGGCAUGACACUCUGGAACCUUCCUUUUCUUUUUAUGCACAUUAAAAAAAUGCUUAUGACAUAA
This is a non-coding RNA of Rattus norvegicus (Norway rat), 3874 nucleotides long. The record is from RefSeq and is a predicted model, not a curated record. NCBI's taxonomy places the organism in Eukaryota, Metazoa, Chordata, Mammalia, Rodentia, Muridae.